CCCGGGCCUUGUACACACCGCCCGUCAAGCGAUGGAAGCCGAGGGCACCCGAAGGCGGUAGCUCAACCCGUAAGGGAGGGCGCCGACGAAGGUGAAAUCGGUAACUGGCGCU
This 112-nucleotide ribosomal RNA is filed under the name uncultured bacterium. RNAcentral describes it as "partial 16S ribosomal RNA". It matches the Rfam family "Bacterial small subunit ribosomal RNA", at positions 1373 to 1482 of the family's 1533-position model. The record is from RNAcentral.